This 397-nucleotide ribosomal RNA is filed under the name uncultured bacterium. RNAcentral describes it as "bacterial SSU rRNA". It matches the Rfam family "Bacterial small subunit ribosomal RNA", at positions 28 to 430 of the family's 1533-position model. The record is from RNAcentral.
GACGAACGCUGGCGGCGUGCUUAACACAUGCAAGUCGAGCGGUAAGGCCCUUUCGGGGGUACACGAGCGGCGAACGGGUGAGUAACACGUGGGUGACCUGCCCUCAGCUCUGGGAUAAGCCUGGGAAACUGGGUCUAAUACUGGAUAUGACUCCACGGUGCAUGUCGUGGGGUGGAAAGCCUUGUGCGGCUGAGGAUGGGCCCGCGGCCUAUCAGCUUGUUGGUGGGGUGAUGGCCUACCAAGGCGACGACGGGUAGCCGGCCUGAGAGGGCGACCGGCCACACUGGGACUGAGACACGGCCCAGACUCCUACGGGAGGCAGCAGUGGGGAAUCUUGCGCAAUGGGCGAAAGCCUGACGCAGCGACGCCGCGUGAGGGAUGACGGCCUGGUGUAAGU